GGCUAACGCUGGCGGCGUGUCUUAGCCAUGCAAGUCGAGCGGACUUAUGGGGUAACUUAUAAGUCAGCGGCGGACGGCGGAGUAACACGUAGCUAACCUACCCUCUGGACGGGGAUAACCUACCGAAAGGUGGGCUAAUACCCGAUGUAGUCAUCCUGUAUAGGGGUGAUGAAAGGUGGGCUUCUGCUUACAAGCUCAUGCUGGAGGAGGGGGCUGCGGCCUAUCAGGUAGUUGGUAGGGUAAUAGCCUACCAAGCCGAUGACGGGUAGCCGGCCUGAGAGGGUGACCGGCCCGAGGGGCACUGAGAUACGGGUCCCACUCCUACGGGAGGCAGCAGGCUAGAAAUUUGGGCAAUGGGGGAAACCCUGACCCAGUGACGCCGCGUGCAGGAAGGAGCCCUUCGGGGUGUAAACUGCUGUCGUGUAGGGAGAAGGGUACUAAGGUGAACAAUCUUAGUACUUGACGGUACUACAGGAGGAAGCCCAGGCUAACCUCGUG
This 498-nucleotide ribosomal RNA is filed under the name uncultured bacterium. RNAcentral describes it as "bacterial SSU rRNA". It matches the Rfam family "Bacterial small subunit ribosomal RNA", at positions 28 to 507 of the family's 1533-position model. The record is from RNAcentral.